Molecule: ribosomal RNA, 410 nt
Filed under: Streptomyces sp. JRA10
Lineage: Bacteria; Bacillati; Actinomycetota; Actinomycetes; Kitasatosporales; Streptomycetaceae
Description: bacterial SSU rRNA
Rfam family: Bacterial small subunit ribosomal RNA
Source: RNAcentral
CGGGUGAGUAACACGUGGGCAAUCUGCCCUGCACUCUGGGACAAGCCCUGGAAACGGGGUCUAAUACCGGAUACUGACCCUCGCAGGCAUCUGCGAGGUUCGAAAGCUCCGGCGGUGCAGGAUGAGCCCGCGGCCUAUCAGCUUGUUGGUGAGGUAAUGGCUCACCAAGGCGACGACGGGUAGCCGGCCUGAGAGGGCGACCGGCCACACUGGGACUGAGACACGGCCCAGACUCCUACGGGAGGCAGCAGUGGGGAAUAUUGCACAAUGGGCGAAAGCCUGAUGCAGCGACGCCGCGUGAGGGAUGACGGCCUUCGGGUUGUAAACCUCUUUCAGCAGGGAAGAAGCGAAAGUGACGGUACCUGCAGAAGAAGCGCCGGCUAACUACGUGCCAGCAGCCGCGGUAAUAC